Molecule: ribosomal RNA, 818 nt
Filed under: Haloferax sp. VKMM004
Lineage: Archaea; Methanobacteriati; Methanobacteriota; Halobacteria; Halobacteriales; Haloferacaceae
Description: bacterial SSU rRNA
Rfam family: Archaeal small subunit ribosomal RNA
Source: RNAcentral
GCCAUGCUAGUUGCACGAGUUCAUACUCGUGGCGAAAAGCUCAGUAACACGAGGCCAAACUACCCUACAGAGAACGAUAACCUCGGGAAACUGAGGCUAAUAGUUCAUACGGGAGUCAUGCUGGAAUGCCGACUCCCCGAAACGCUCAGGCGCUGUAGGAUGUGGCUGCGGCCGAUUAGGUAGACGGUGGGGUAACGGCCCACCGUGCCGAUAAUCGGUACGGGUUGUGAGAGCAAGAGCCCGGAGACGGAAUCUGAGACAAGAUUCCGGGCCCUACGGGGCGCAGCAGGCGCGAAACCUUUACACUGCACGCAAGUGCGAUAAGGGGACCCCAAGUGCGAGGGCAUAUAGUCCUCGCUUUUCACGACUGUAAGGCGGUCGUGGAAUAAGAGCUGGGCAAGACCGGUGCCAGCCGCCGCGGUAAUACCGGCAGCUCAAGUGAUGACCGAUAUUAUUGGGCCUAAAGCGUCCGUAGCCGGCCACGAAGGUUCAUCGGGAAAUCCGCCAGCUCAACUGGCGGGCGUCCGGUGAAAACCACGUGGCUUGGGACCGGAAGGCUCGAGGGGUACGUCCGGGGUAGGAGUGAAAUCCCGUAAUCCUGGACGGACCACCGAUGGCGAAAGCACCUCGAGAAGACGGAUCCGACGGUGAGGGACGAAAGCUAGGGUCUCGAACCGGAUUAGAUACCCGGGUAGUCCUAGCUGUAAACGAUGCUCGCUAGGUGUGGCACAGGCUACGAGCCUGUGCUGUGCCGUAGGGAAGCCGAGAAGCGAGCCGCCUGGGAAGUACGUCCGCAAGGAUGAAACUUAAAGGAAUUG